RNAcentral lists this long non-coding RNA (379 nucleotides) under Homo sapiens (human). RNAcentral describes it as "non-protein coding lnc-STMP1-8:6". The record is from RNAcentral. Lineage: Eukaryota; Metazoa; Chordata; Mammalia; Primates; Hominidae.
UCCUCCACUGUUUUGGGAAACGUCACCUUCUUAUCUUGGAAGAGUAAUCUCAAAAUUGAAGCAUCUUAGAUCCAACAAGAAUUAAAAGGAUGGGAAGUCCUUGCAGCCAUCCAAUAGAGUCAGAAGACUUUGGAUUUUGGAGUCUGUGAGAUCAGGUUCCUGCUUGGAAGUAAAGAACCAACGAGAAGGCAGGGAGCAAGGAACUGCCUUUUCCAAGGAGACCCAGGCUGCUUGGCACCUGCGCCUGCAGAGGCUCUUAUCCACCUGCUGCCCCAGGCCUUGCCUAACUGAAGGGGCCAACACUAUCUGUCUGCCUCAAGAGGGGAUCAGGGCAGAGUCCUCACAUUUUUUAUGAGAAAAACGUCCCUUAGCAUGUCUG